Molecule: long non-coding RNA, 1413 nt
Filed under: Numida meleagris (helmeted guineafowl)
Lineage: Eukaryota; Metazoa; Chordata; Aves; Galliformes; Numididae
Description: lncRNA (ENSNMEG00000003064.1)
Source: RNAcentral
UUUUUGGGGUGAAUUCUGGGGAUUUGGGGUUUUUUGGGAUUUUCUUGGGUUUUCGUUGGGUUUCGGUUGGGUUUUGUUGGGUUCUCGUUGGGUUUUUGUUGGGUUCUCAUUGGGUUCCUCUUCUUGUUGGGUUCCUUUUGAGGUCUUGGUCUUCUCCAAGUCCAGCAAGUGUGAGUGCUGGGCUCAUUUUUGGGGUGAAUUCUGGGGAUUUUGGGUUUUUUGGGAUUUUUUGGGGUGUUUUCGUUGGGUUUUGUUGGGUUUUGGUUGGGUUCUUGUUGGUUUUUUGUUGGGUUCUCGUUGGGUUCCUCUUCUUGUUGGGCUCCUUUUGAGGUCUUGUUCUCCUCCAAGUCCAGCAAGUGUGAGUGCUGGGCUCAUUUUUGGGGUGAAUUCUGGGGAUUUUGGGUUUUUGGGGAUUUUUUGGGGGGUUUUCGUUGGGUUUCGGUUGGGUUUUGUUGGGUUCUCGUUGGGUUUUGUUGGGUUUUUGUUGGGUUCUUGUUGGGUUUCCUCUUCUUGUUGGGUUCCUUUUGAGGUCUUGUUCUCCUCCAAGUCCAGCAAGUGUGAGUGCUGGGCUCAUUUUUGGGGUGAAUUGUGGGGAUUUGGGGUUCUUUGGGAUUUUUGGGGGUUUUCGUUGGGUUUUCGUUGGGUUCUCGUUGGGUUUCCUCUUCUUGUUGGGCUCCUUUUGGGGUCAACAGCAAGAGUGGCCAGUGUGGUUCCUCCUCCAAGUCCGGCAAGUGUGAGUGCCGGGCUCGUUUUUGGGGUGAAUUCUGGGGAUUUUGGGUUUUUGGGGAUUUUUUUGGGUGUUUUCGUUGGGUUUUUGUUGGGUUCUCGUUGGGUUUUUGUUGGGUUCUCGUUGGGUUUGGUUGGGUUUUUGUUGGGUUCUCGUUGGAUUCCUCUUCAUGUUGGGCUCCUUUUGGCGUCUUGGUCUUCUCCAAAUCCGAUAAAUGUGAGUGGUGGGCUCAGUUUUGGGGUGAAUUCUGGGGAUUUUGGGUUUUGGGGGGAUUUUUUUGGGUUUUCCUUGGGUUUCGGUUGGGAUUUUUGUUGGGUUCUCGUUGGGUUUCCUCUUCUUGUUGGGCUCCUUUUUGGGGUCAACAGCAAGAGCGGCCAGCGCGGCUCCUCCUCCAAGUCCAGCAAGUGUGAGUGCCGGGCUCGUUUUUGGGGUGAAUUCUGGGGAUUUUGGGUUUUUUGUUUUUUUUGUUGGGUUUCGGUUGGGUUUUGAUUGGGUUCUUGUUGGGUUUUUGUUGGGUUCUUGUUGGGUUUCAUCUUCUUGUUAGGCUCCUUUUGGGGUCUUGGUCUCCUCCAAGUCCAGCAAGUGUUAGUGCUGGGCUCGGUUUUGGGGUGAGUUCUGGGACUUUUGGGUUUUCGGGGUUUUUUGGGGAGAUUUUGGGGGAUUUCAUUGGGUUUUCAUUAGGUUUU